CGUGUAGGCGGGAAUGCAAGUCAGAUGUGAAAUACCGAGGCUUAACCUCGGGGCUGCAUCUGAAACUGCGUUUCUUGAGUGUCGGAGAGGAAAGUGGAAUUCCCAGUGUAGCGGUGAAAUGCGUAGAUAUUGGGAGGAACACCAGUGGCGAAGGCGACUUUCUGGACGAUAACUGACGCUGAGGCGCGAAAGCGUGGGGAGCAAACAGGAUUAGAUACCCUGGUAGUCCACGCUGUAAACGAUGGAUACUAGGUGUAGGAGGUAUCGACCCCUUCUGUGCCGGAGUUAACACAAUAAGUAUCCCACCUGGGGAGUACGGCCGCAAGGUUGAA
This 332-nucleotide ribosomal RNA is filed under the name uncultured bacterium. RNAcentral's name for it is "bacterial SSU rRNA". It matches the Rfam family "Bacterial small subunit ribosomal RNA", at positions 568 to 898 of the family's 1533-position model. The record is from RNAcentral.